Molecule: small nuclear RNA, 300 nt
Filed under: Peromyscus maniculatus bairdii (prairie deer mouse)
Lineage: Eukaryota; Metazoa; Chordata; Mammalia; Rodentia; Cricetidae
Description: 7SK RNA (ENSPEMG00000002417.2)
Rfam family: 7SK RNA
About the family: 7SK was discovered as an abundant small nuclear RNA in the mid-70s but a possible function has only recently been suggested. Two independent studies have found that 7SK RNA binds the CDK9/cyclin T complex (known as elongation factor P-TEFb).
Source: Rfam by way of RNAcentral
GAAAUGGAGGGGGAACAGUGUCUCUCCUUAGAAUGUCGUCGCUCCUGCCAAGAUGGUUACAGCUCCUCCUUCACCACUCCGUGAACAUCAUUCCCAAAGCUGUGUGCUCCAUCAAAGAAAACGACCUUCUCCAACAGAGGCAACGUUCUUCAAUUGAAGCUAUAUGAGCAGCUGUAUGGCCCUCCCAGGCAGAACCACCGAAACAGGAUCUCAGUGUCCUUCUGCAAAAACAUAGAGUAGCCAAAUUCCUCAGACUCCAGACACAUAUAAAUGAGAUAAUGCAUGUAGCAAUCUAUAUUU